CUCCUCCUCACGUCGCCCCCUGACGGGAAAAUGCUGCCUCUUCCAGCACAACGCCAGCCAGGCGAGGACGAAAGGGAGGCAGCCAGCAGCAAGCGGGCGACGAUCAAGCACUUGAGAAAGCUCCGGCUGUCCACUCAGUGAACUCAUGGCAAAUCCUCGAACAGACUUGUGCUGCCCUUCAGUGUUAUUUGCUCUGUUAAACCCACAGAGCCUAGGGCUUGCCGAUCAGAAGUGCGGUGGUUUGAAUCCCUGAGACGCGAGAUGGAAGAAGGAGGAAAUUUGUAGCUUGCCCAAAAGGAAACUGGCUUUUCUUUUCACAUUCAGAGUAACUUAAAUGAAAAAUAUGUUGCUGUACAAACAUUCUGGCACAUUAAAUUCUUGGACUUUACCCAGGUGCGGUGUUAUUUUGCCCCUUUGCAAAUAAUAGUGCAAGUUGACAUGCUGCUUCCUGAACAGCUUUCCAUUGCAGGGCAAAUAGGUGUGGGAUGGUUUGGAGGAGUAGCUUCAAGGAAAUGUUGUUCAAAGUAAAUGGUUCUGUUGCAGAAGUGAUCCUUGGCUAUAUACGUGCAGUUCCCUUCUGGAAUGUAAUCACUAUUUCCAGAGAAUGUGAAUGCCCUAAGAAUCAACUGCAUUCAGAGACCUAGGCUGUUCCUCCUGCUGCUUUUACAAUCACUCUGUUUCCAGAAUCUCUUGUAUGCAUAACAACUACCAAACUCCAAAUUGUUUUGGUCCAAAAUGAGGAAUUAACUUGUAGUGACAUUUAUCACUAAGCAAUUCCAGCUCAAGAUUUUAUUUUUUCUCUGCUUGGAGACUAUGUCAAUGAAAGAAAAAUGUGUAUUCUGUCUUCCUGUGAAAGCAACAGUCAGUUGUGUUUUCCUGCAAAUACAUAUACUGGGGAAGCCAAAGCACACUGGGCUGUUUAUGGGGGCUCAUCCACGCUUAUCUUGCUCCACAUUUCUAGGCACAGGUCUGGGCUUUGCAGGCCAUU
Podarcis muralis (Common wall lizard) is the source of this 988-nucleotide long non-coding RNA. RefSeq lists it as uncharacterized. Lineage: Eukaryota; Metazoa; Chordata; Lepidosauria; Squamata; Lacertidae. The record is from RefSeq and is a predicted model, not a curated record.